AACGAACGCUGGCGGCAGGCCUAACACAUGCAAGUCGAACGCUCCGCAAGGGGAGUGGCGCACGGGUGAGUAACACGUGGGAACCUACCUUCUGGUACGGAACAACCAAGGGAAACUUUGGCUAAGACCGUAUACGACCUCCGGGUGAAAGAUUGAUCGCCGGAAGAGGGGCCCGCGUCCGAUUAGGUAGUUGGUGAGGUAACGGCUCACCAAGCCUUCGAUCGGUAGCUGGUCUGAGAGGAUGACCAGCCACACUGGGACUGAGACACGGCCCAGACUCCUACGGGAGGCAGCAGUGGGGAAUAUUGCGCAAUGGGCGAAAGCCUGACGCAGCGACGCCGCGUGAGGGAUGACGGCCUCGGUUG
Molecule: ribosomal RNA, 365 nt
Filed under: uncultured bacterium
Lineage: Bacteria
Description: bacterial SSU rRNA
Rfam family: Bacterial small subunit ribosomal RNA
Source: RNAcentral